UUGUACAUGUUUGUUAUAUUUUCCAAGUAACUGAUUUUGACUCUGAUAAAAUGACUUAGAAUGGAAAUGAAGAAACUCUGACCCUGCAGCCCAUGCCACCAGUGAAAAAACUUUCUAUUAAUGAAGAAUAUUGUGUUGGAAGAUCCAGCAGGUGAGACUUGUGAAUCAUUCAAUGACCAGAGGUAUCACUACUUGGAGGAACCUCUAAUGUAGACUAUAAAAUGGUGGAACUAUUUCUUAUGAUCUGAUGACAUUUGGCUGAGAAACAUGAUUGUAGAAAUGGUUAUUUAUUUAUUUUUUUCUACAUGAAUUUUACUACUGUCAUGGAGAUUUGAGUCCACCUGAAGAUGGUAGUAGCAAAAGAAAAUUGUAGAUUGUUUUGUUGCUAUUGUGGUUUUUGUGAUAGACAGAGUGUAGUCCUGAAUAUGGAACUCCUUAUGGUUUCAAGAUAAAGCUAGUUUAAGCUAGUUCAAUGCCAAUAUAGCAGUUCAUGCAACUGAGAAUUCAGAAAUGUCUAGAUAGAUACUAGUUUCCGCUUAGGUCAUCAGAAUUACUUCCCUCUGUAACUUUCUCUCUCUCUUUAUGUAUUAUAGUUUCCCCUGUGUUGCUUCAUUCUUAAGAAAGCUCCUCACAUGGUGCACAGAUCAACAUCUGAUGCUCUAGACAGUGUAGAAAGAAAAUGCCUUCUCUGCUCACUGAACAUUUUAUUUGUGGAAAAAAAAAUACACAACUCAGAGUAGCUCUGCUUAUGUAACUGUUUCAUCUCAAGACCUGGACUAAAUAAUUGAUUAAAAGAUGGAGAGUGGAAUAAUCUGAUUUUGCAAACUUGGGUUACAUGUCCAUAUCUGGUAGUAGGCCAACCAUAGUCAGAAAUGCUGACUGAGAAUAAAAGACAGUGUUUCCUUAAAGAAACCCUAGACUCACAUAGGUACUUGUAAUGUACAAUUCUGUUUUCUAUUCUUUUUUUUAAAUUUUCUUUUUUCUUAUUGCUUUUCCAAUGUUUCCAUGCUUACUGCUUAUUUCCAAGGUUAGAGAUUUUAGAUAUAUGAAUAAAAAUAAUAGAUUAAAUGAACAAUACCUUGAACCCCUUCACUUAUAGGCAUUACAAAAAAUUGACUAUAUAAACAUUCCAUUUAAUGAAAAGCACUUUAAUAUUUCUUUGAGAUGAGUAGCUUAAUAAAUUAUAGCAUUAUAAAAAUUCCAACAAAUAAACAGUAUUUUAAAAGUUGGCUGAAAAGAAGUAAUUUUCUAAAUAAAUUUUCUAAAAAGUUUCAAUAGCUACACUGUCCUAACAAAGCUUCUUGCAAGACUUGAAAGGAGGUUGUAGCAGCUGAAUUUUGCCACUGGUAGCUCUAUACAAUUUUUUCAUUGUGGAGAAUGAUAUUCAGACUAGCAAUAGAGUCAUCCGCUCCCUGUUAUCUACAUUCCCAUAUUUACUUUCCAUCAUACUUCCCAGACACCUUUCAAUUCAUAAGUAUUGAGUUUUGUAUGUAAAAUUCACCUUUAAAAUAUCUGAAAAUUUGCUUCCUUCCAAUUUCUCCCAUUCUCUAAGAUUUUAUAGGAAGAAAAUAAAAAAUGUUAUAUCUAAAUUUAAUUCAG
This 1599-nucleotide long non-coding RNA is filed under the name Homo sapiens (human). RNAcentral's name for it is "HSALNT0056936". The record is from RNAcentral. Lineage: Eukaryota; Metazoa; Chordata; Mammalia; Primates; Hominidae.